CCAUGGAGACCUGUGAAUUAAAAGAGUCUGUGCUGCUUUCUUGGCUAAUGGAUGUGUUCCUGGCACUGCAGGCUUACCUCCACGUCCCACAGGUGUUUGCGUUGCAGGCUGGGAGUCCAGGUUGACUUCUGUUGUUUUUUUCUCUUUCAAGUUUUAAAGAGCUGGCAGAACAUUUAUUCAGUUGUGCAAGCUCCAUUCAGAGUAUUUCUCAGAUCCUGGGCACGGGGCUCAUUUUUCAUGCUUUGGCAGCUGAGGUAAAUCAAUAAGGCAGCUGGAGGUCACCUGCAGUCAAUCAGUAACCAGUGCUGGCAAAGAGAAAACACUAAAUAGUUGGUAUCAAAGCACAGGCUCUAAACUCAGAGUUCUCACUCGGGGUGACAUUUUCACAGCCUUGCCUUCAGCAGCCUGGCCCCAUGCAUGCUGGCUGUGUUCUCCUGGUCACUAUCUGUAUGGGAGUUUUGUGGCACAUGCCCGCUGCAGGCGUCACAGCAAAGCAGGACACGAGGCGCUCGGGGUGGAGGUAGUGGCUCUGGUGGUGCAAGGUGCAAGGAGCUAAUUUGGUGACAGCUAAAUCACUCCUCCUUUGUGCAGGAAGUCACUAGGUGUUGGCCGAAGUCAUGCAUGCCCUCGGUCACACCCAGCUCCCUCAGGAACAGGGACCUGUGGCCAGCAGGUGACUCUCACAGGGGUCCCUAAUUCCCUUCAAAACAAAUAAGCACUAGGCUCUUAAAUCCCUCUGCUGCCUGGGGCACGUUCCAGUGGUGUCCCUGCUCUGUUUGCUCCUGCUUCUGGAGCUGGUUGGCCAUAAACCCCACCUGAGCUCACCUCAAGCCUCUGCCAUUACAACAUGCUCUAUUUUCUCUUCCCUUUGAGCUCAGCUGCUCUGGGCUCUGUGGGACGCAGCAUCCUGUCUCUGAUCACUCAUCUGGCCAGCUCCUUGUGUGUGCCCACAUGGGGCCCUCAUGCCCACUCCACCAGCUGCCGACAGCAGUAGGCCUUGUGCCAACCUGGAGGUGCUCUGGCAGCCCCCGUGCAGAAUCUACACACUGUCACAUGCUGCUGCUGCUCUGUGCCCCAUUCACAGAGCUGGGCUGCAGAGAUGCUUCCACAGGAGCCCGGGACUCACUCUCAGAUCUAUGUGCUGGAUGGGUUGCACUGAGCUCCAGCUACAGGGUUUGCAGGUUCAUGUGCUGCACUUUUUGCUGCAGACUGACAGGUGGGCAUGCUCUGCUGGUGCCAGCAGCUUGGCACUCUCCUCCUGCUACCCUGAUCCAUCCCAGAACCCUGGGGAGCUCCUGCUGGUCUCAGACCUAUCUGAUGUCUCCCUGUUCCCGGGCUGGUGUCUGCAGGAAGUGCUGCUUGUCUGGCGUCCACACCUGGAGGAGAGCUCUGACAACAGCUGGUCACCACGGCUCGCUGGCUUUGGAGGUGGCUUCCUUCUGCCAGCUCUUCCCUGGAGCCUCAGACAAGUGCUCAAGGUCCUUUCAGCCUGCUGCGCUGCAAGGAGAGGAGUCAAGGAGGCUUUUCCCCUCCUCUUUCUCUUCUCACAGGUUCAUUUCAAACUUUAACUGCUGGCAUUUCCUUCCAGCUUUCUGACAGCCUCGAGAGAUGCACCCCAGAGAGCAGCACAGACAACUCAGUGCAUGGGCAACACUCAAGGGACUUUCUGCUCAGGAGAUGCAUAGUCACACGGGCUGCUGGACCACUGACCCCACCACCCCCCUUCUGCACUCCCCAGAAUGCCUCAGGACAAGCCUCUGAGAAACAAGACCGGCUGGAAGGACUUAUCCUAUGGCUGGAGCAGUAAUCCUCCUUAUUUGCCACACAAGUGCUCUGUGCGUCCACCCACAGGUUGGGGUUCAUGUCAUUGGGGCAUAUCCCAGCGUGGGAAUAGCGGAUGGGAGGCAGAGCUCCCCCUUUCAGAGAGACCUCCAGAAGCAAGAGGACACUGCUCUUCCCCAGCAAGAUCCACAUCCACCGAGUGAGCAGCAUCCACACCAUCUCAGACCUUCUCCAGGGCAGUGGCAGUGGCCGAGCUGCAGGCAGUUCCUGUCUGCUUUGCUUUUGGUAAGCCUUCAAUUUCUGAGGAACCCAAAGGCACCUGACCCCGGUAAAGACUUCAGCAAGCUCCUCCGCUGCUGCCGCUGACAGAGCAGCUUGGUCUGGACCUCAUUGGAUGAAAGGUCCAAGGAAGCUACCCCUUAUUUUAAGAGAAACGCCAAGAGCCCGAGCAGAGUUAGCUCUAUUUAUACCCUGCCUCUGUUAACAAGUCAGAAAAAGUAAACUUGAUUUCUUUGACAGGCACACGCUUCCUAUGUCCUGGUGGCAGUCAGACAGAUUUGUUGCAAGGAAAAAAAAAAAAGCUGGAAAGAGUUCAAAAGGCUGGAACUGGCACGGUGGGACCCCUGCAUGUUCCUGAACGCAGGGAGGCCUUCUUAACCCCUUUAGACCUAAAGUACUUCCCUGUGCUAAGAAUGGCAUUUACUGCUGAAAGGGUGCUUGUCUAAACAGCAGGGACCCGGGACAGGGGAUUUCCCCACGGCAAGGGGCUGCACAAUCACUGCCGCAAGGGACAAGUAAUAGGAUUGAAGCAGUUAAAGCUGGAAUAUCAUAUUUUUAACAAAGGAAGUAGGGAAGAAAUAACUCCUUUAAACUCGGGCUGACAAAGCAGUUUGUCUUCCUAACUCCUGCCGGGGCUCCUCCGGGCUUUAUUCUCCUCUCUGGUGGGGAGGUUCCCAGGAUGCUGGGUUUAACGCUCCCUCCAGCUCCACCAGCAAGACGUUAAAAGUGUCCCUGAAUUCCUCCACAUUUCCUGACAGCCAGGUCCCAUUGUACAGUGCAUUGCUGACCCCUUUAACAGCCACAACAACAAAAAAAAAAAUAGUAGAAGUUCAACUCUAUGGAAACCUGCCUAAAGGAAUGUACAGCAUUUCUACAUUGGGGGGCGGGGGGGAAUGCAGCCAGGCUCGGCUCCUCGUUCCCUGCUUAUUACAGCAAGGGGCUGAUCCUGCUUGUGCUGAACACGCGUCAAAGCCGAGCCGCAGCAGUCAGACCUGCUCAGCACCUUCCAGGAUUAGAGUCUUUGGGCUGAAUUCUGGGCUAGCCUGGACGCAUCCUGCACGUUACUCAGUGCCCCCUGCGAGGAGCAGAGGAGUUUCCAUCCCAGGUGGGGCCCAGCAGGGCAGGAGCAGCUGCUCUGCCUCGGCAGCGGGGACGGCUGUGCCCCUGCGCUGUGCCCAGCACUGCAGAGCCGUCGGACCUGGUGUGAGCAGCCUUUAUCCGUGCACAGUUUUCCUCUCGGGUUUGUUACAGCAGGGUUGUUCCUCACGGCCGAGUACACCCAGCAGCGAACUGGGCCACCAGGCCAGCAGUGCCCCAGGCCACGGGACUGCCGCUCCUGCCCCGGUGCAGGGCAGCAGAGU
Molecule: RNA transcript, 3422 nt
Organism: Pogoniulus pusillus (Red-fronted tinkerbird)
Lineage: Eukaryota; Metazoa; Chordata; Aves; Piciformes; Lybiidae
Exons: 3
Source: RefSeq, a predicted model, not a curated record